UCCAGUAUAAUAUAAGAACAACCCCAAAUUGUGACUUAAAAAAGGGAACAAUAAAAUAUAAUUAAUAAAUCCAUAUCAUUUUUAAAUUAAAAAAAACAAAACAAUGAUCAUCUUUCGAAGAAGCAACAUUAACAUCCUUUUCAAUAAGUAACUUUUUUGGGGUGAAAAAUAAACAUUAACCUGGUAAAAAAAAACUCUUUCGAAAGAAAUAGAAGACGCAUCAAAAUCAAUUAAUCAUUAUAAUUAUAUUAUCUCAUCCUAUAUGAUUAAAAUUGAA
Molecule: long non-coding RNA, 277 nt
Filed under: Lathyrus oleraceus (garden pea)
Lineage: Eukaryota; Viridiplantae; Streptophyta; Magnoliopsida; Fabales; Fabaceae
Description: Pisum sativum (pea) long non-coding RNA (PSAT_LNC016974)
Source: RNAcentral